RNAcentral lists this ribosomal RNA (284 nucleotides) under Segatella copri DSM 18205. RNAcentral's name for it is "Prevotella copri DSM 18205 partial 16S ribosomal RNA". It matches the Rfam family "Bacterial small subunit ribosomal RNA", at positions 492 to 776 of the family's 1533-position model. Lineage: Bacteria; Pseudomonadati; Bacteroidota; Bacteroidia; Bacteroidales; Prevotellaceae. The record is from RNAcentral.
UCUGGUCCUUGUGUGCCAGCCGCCGCGGUCCUCCGGCCGGUCCGGGCGUUCUCCGGCUUUCUUGGGUUUCCCGGGCGCGUCGGCCGGAGAUUAAGCGUGUUGUGAAAUGUAGAUGCUCAACAUCUGCACUGCAGCGCGAACUGGUUUCCUUGAGUACGCACAAAGUGGGCGGAAUUCGUGGUGUAGCGGUGAAAUGCUUAGAUAUCACGAAGAACUCCGAUUGCGAAGGCAGCUCACUGGAGCGCAACUGACGCUGAAGCUCGAAAGUGCGGGUAUCGAACAGG